This 72-nucleotide transfer RNA is filed under the name Synechococcus phage S-H25. It matches the Rfam family "tRNA". From Rfam's summary of the family: Transfer RNA (tRNA) molecules are approximately 80 nucleotides in length. Their secondary structure includes four short double-helical elements and three loops (D, anti-codon, and T loops). The record is from Rfam by way of RNAcentral. Lineage: Duplodnaviria; Heunggongvirae; Uroviricota; Caudoviricetes; Pantevenvirales; Kyanoviridae.
GGGCGAAUAGCUCAGCGGUAGAGCACCUCGUUUACACCGAGAUUGUCGGGGGUUCGAUCCCCUCUUCGCCCA